Molecule: small nuclear RNA, 109 nt
Organism: Jaculus jaculus (lesser Egyptian jerboa)
Lineage: Eukaryota; Metazoa; Chordata; Mammalia; Rodentia; Dipodidae
Source: Ensembl
GUGCUCACUUUGGCAGCACAUACACUAAAAAUUGGAAUGAUACAGAGAAGAUUAGUAUGGCCCCUGAACAAGGAUGGUGUGGUAGUUUGAAUAGAUGGCCCCCAAUAUA